GAGUCACCUUUCAGAAACAUUUAUUCAAUCCUGAAAGAUUAAUAAAGUUCUGUUAAUUCUGAAGAUAUGGUGCCUCAUGGCUUCAGGUUCAAUCCCACUGAUCAAGAACUCAUCCAAAUCCUAGACCGAAAAGCUUCUGAGCAAGAAAUGCCUCUCCCUUUCAUUGUCUACGCCAAUCUCUAUGAGCAUGAACCUCAAGAUCUUGAAUGGAACCACAGUGCCGCUUUAGGAAACGAGGAGAGAUACUACUACUGCAAAAGGGAGAAUGAUUCCAGGGAAGUUACUGGACGGGGAUGGUGGAAAGCUACUAGCCAUGUCAAGAAAGUUCAUGUUAAUGAAAAUCUUGUUGGGUACAAGAGGCCUUUAACAUUUCACAGGUACAGGGACCAAGAAAGAAACCGCAACAAUGCCAUAAAGACCAAUUGGAUCAUGCAUGAG
RNAcentral lists this unclassified non-coding RNA (438 nucleotides) under Hevea brasiliensis (rubber tree). The record is from RNAcentral. Lineage: Eukaryota; Viridiplantae; Streptophyta; Magnoliopsida; Malpighiales; Euphorbiaceae.